ACAAGCGGUGGAGCAUGUGGUUUAAUUCGAAGCAACGCGAAGAACCUUACCAGGUCUUGACAUCCCGAUGCUAUUUCUAGAGAUAGAAAGUUACUUCGGUACAUCGGUGACAGGUGGUGCAUGGUUGUCGUCAGCUCGUGUCGUGAGAUGUUGGGUUAAGUCCCGCAACGAGCGCAACCCUCGACCUUAGUUGCCAGCAUUCAGUUGGGCACUCUAAGGUGACUGCCGGCUAAAAGUCGGAGGAAGGUGGGGAUGACGUCAAAUCAUCAUGCCCCUUAUGACCUGGGCUACACACGUGCUACAAUGGGCGGUACAAAGGGUCGCGAACCCGCGAGGGGGAGCCAAUCCCAAAAAGCCGCUCUCAGUUCGGAUUGCAGGCUGCAACUCGCCUGCAUGAAGCCGGAAUCGCUAGUAAUCGCGGAUCAGCAUGCCGCGGUGAAUGCGUUCCCGGGCCUU
This 456-nucleotide ribosomal RNA is filed under the name uncultured Anoxybacillus sp. RNAcentral's name for it is "bacterial SSU rRNA". It matches the Rfam family "Bacterial small subunit ribosomal RNA", at positions 925 to 1382 of the family's 1533-position model. Lineage: Bacteria; Bacillati; Bacillota; Bacilli; Caryophanales; Anoxybacillaceae. The record is from RNAcentral.